Long non-coding RNA from Rattus norvegicus (Norway rat), 12785 nucleotides. RefSeq lists it as uncharacterized. Lineage: Eukaryota; Metazoa; Chordata; Mammalia; Rodentia; Muridae. The record is from RefSeq and is a predicted model, not a curated record.
AGGCUGUCCCCUCUGCCUGGCCUGACCCACUGACUGUAGGGGGCUUCAGAGCCACUUGGAGGAGAAGGGUGCUGGCAAACUCUUCCUGCCUAGCCAGACCCUUUUUCUUCUUUCCCUUCUGGGGAGACUUUCCCUAUUCUAGUCCCCGUGUGCAGAGUUGAAAGCCCUAGUCUGCUGUGGGGGAAGAGCUUGGUGGCUGUGUUAGAGAGUGUGGUUUCCAGCCCCGUGGCUGUGAUGGCUGGCCUGACUCGUUUGCGCAAAGCCCAUCUCUGGGAUCCGUUGUCUCUCCUGACUCACCUGUGUGGACAAACCGCCGUUGGGUUUUGCAGAACUUGAGCUUAUCAUAGUAAAAAGGAAGGUGUUCUAAACCGGCUGAAGGGAGAGCUGCUCCGCUCAAGCAGAGAAUUCUGGAGCAGCAAUGGGUAUCCUGGGUAGCCUAGGGAUCACCAUGGCAACACGAAAGGCAAUCCAAAGGGAGGUAGUGAUGGAACAGGCCCUCCUCCAGGCCGAGGCUGAAUCCCUGGCGUGAUUAGAAGGCGGAUUUAGGGUUAGAAAGUGAUCUGUAGACCCACAGCUGCCUCUAAUUUAAGGCCCCUCUCUCAGCACGGUUCUCAGGAGCACAGAACGGGCCAAGUCCAGUGCCUGCCAACCUCCUCCGUACCCUCCCUCUGGCUGCCAAAUCUGACUUUGAUUAGCGCGUGGAGGGGAAGAAAGCAGGAAAAUAGAAUAUUAAAAUCUUAAUUCAAUUUAAAACACUGUCAUUCACAGGCAUGCCAAACAGUGAGAUGACUAAUUAUUAUGCAAAUGAGGGAGAUAGAAAAGUGAUUAAUAAUUGCACAAAUUAAAAAUUAUUGUAAACAUCCUGUGACGAGCGAUAAGUCCGAUGAAGAGGCAAGGGCGGUGGGCCGGGGAGGCCAUGGAGGAGCCAGCUCCUGCAUCCGGUUUUCCUCAUUAGGGGGAUUUAAUUAGCACUCAUUGAUGGGGCUUGUGCUGCCAGGGUUGGGGAGGACGUGGCCAGCACCCCAGCUGUCUGCUGGUUCCUCAUUUCCUCUCCAGUUGCUUCUCACUACCCUGGGGUCCUCACUGGAAUAGGCUGAGCAGGAAGAGGAAGAAAGGUUGGCCACCAUGUGGGGCAGAUGCUGUGCAAGCAGUCCCACUGCUUUUCUCAAGCCGCGACCACUGACCGCCUGUCUCUUACACCUUCUGGCCUGGGUCAGGAGAGAAAAGAGGCUCCUUGACACAGAAAUGUGGAGAUAUCCUGGUCCAACAAGCAAGUAGUUCUAGUGAAGGGACAGAGGGGGUCCUAUUAUGUGCAUGCGUGCGUGUGUGUGUGUGUGUGCGUGUGCAUGUGUGUAUACACACCUGUGAACACAUGUGCUUGUGUGUGUAGGCUGGAGGACAAUCUUGGUGUCAUCUCAGAGAACUUGUCCACCUCCUUUGAGACAACAUCUCUCACUGGCUUAGAACUCACUAAUUAAACUAGACAGACUGGCCAGCCAGCCCCAAGGACCCUCCUUUAUUUGUCUCUUAUGCUGACUUAUACAAGUGCCACACUCAAGCCGUUUUUACUGAUUGCAGGGUUUGAACGCAGGUCCCUGUGCAUAUAAGGCAACUUCUUUGCGAACUGAGUCUUCGCUUCAGUCCAACUGACAUACUUUUAUCAAAAUUUUACCAGCCACAGCUUCCUCCUACCUUGAUCCCUGGUCUCUGGCAGAUGGGGCUGGGACCGGGUGAAUGGCUGCUAUCUUUGCUCUCCUAUGUAAAUCCCUGGGCCUUAGGGGAAUGGCUCCAAGGCUAGACCUGGAGCUCUGUAUGUGUGUGUGUGUGUGUGUGUGUGUGUGUGUAAGCCGUUUAAGCGCAGCUGCUAGCUGAGUUUUCCUUCUCUAGAGCCUAGUACUGGCCAUUGCUUACUCUUGCCCCUGCUGGUUGGACUCCUCCUGGGUUCUCAGUCCAUCCUUGACUUCUGCCUUAGUGUCUUCCUGGGCUCUUCUGAGACAGCUAAGGAUGAUGGGAUGUGGUAUAAAUCUCAUCCUUGGCUGAGUUGUCGCAGCUCUCUGGGUCUGUUCAUUUUUUACAAAAGUUGGGUUGGGGAUAGCCCAGGGUUUUGCCUAAUCUGUGUAAGGCAAGGGUUUGAAUGGAAUUGCCACAGGUAAAUAAAUAAGAUGGGGAAGUGCCUACAAUUCCAUGGGACGUUCCUACCCCCUUUCCUCAUUCUCAUCCAUUCUAUUUGCUAGGUAAGACCUCAUUUCUCUGUAUCGCAUGCUAGAGGUGCAGUCAGUACUUGGUGUCCAGGACCUUGGAGCACUGGGAUGAAGGAUGACCCUACCUUCAUCCCAGAGAUGAAGGAUGGCACAAGCCUAGGCCCUGGGGUGAGAGAAUAAAAGAAGUUCAGAGAUGGUCAAGGGGCUGGGGGAAGGCUACACUGGGGAGUGGAGGGGCCUGUGCUUUAUUAUGGGAGAUUUUGGUCUGUGUUGAGGACCUGGGCAGUAAAGAGAGGACUUAAUGUUGUGGAAGGCAUAAUUAGAAUUGGCUUUGAAAGCUCACAUCAACUUCGUUGUGAAGACAGACAAAGUGGGAGGUGGGGUCUCCACUGGUCCUCACCCAGACGUCAUAGCCAUCUGCAAGAAAGACAUGAGCUCUGACCACUGAAGGAGAGACGGCAGGAGAGGGAGGAUCUGAACCGUGUGCAUGUGAGGGUGUAAGGUGACACUGGCCACGGCCUUCUGCGGGAAAGGAGGGGUGACCACCUCGUGACACCUGGUAUCUUUCCCUCAGGAGUGGUAGGUGCUGGAUUAGAAUGUCAGCUAAAGGUAGGGUCUUGCCUUCCACACCCUCUCUGCUCCAACUCCUCAGGGAGGGGCCAAGGGAGGUGAAAGCAAGAAGAGUUGUAAACACUGAGCACAAAGUCUCUCUGGGGACAGUGAACUUGGGACUAGAAAUUCACAAGCUGAUGCGUGUGAGCCGGGCUUGGCUGUGGAAUGACACCACGGUGAACGUUAAGAAUCCACAGACGAGGGAGUGUGGGGCCUAGGAUCUGUCCCUCCCGUCUCAUACACUCAAACAUGAAAUACACUUCUCUCACUGUCGCUGAACCUCUCUUGUAGAGUCUGCAGACUUGUGGGCAGCUUGCUCCAUGGGGGUGACUUAGCCCCAGAUAUCACCCUUGAGUUGUGUAUAUGGUGUGGGUGUGUGGAGAAAAGCUGAGUGAGAAGACCUGGCUGGCCUUGUGAGUAGACGGAAGUCUUGUUCCUUCCAUCCCUCAGGGAUGGGAGGCAGGAAGGGGAGCCAAAAUAGCCACAUGACUGUUGCUCUUUUUCAAUUACAGUGAAACCCCAGGUAAUCGACUGCUAAUAUCCUUGUUAACUGAGUGUCUUAGUUAGGGUUCUACUGCUGUGAACAGACACCAUGACUGAGACAACUCUUAUAAGGACAAUAUCUAAUUGGGGCUGACUUACAGGUUCGAAGGUUCAGCCCAUUAUCAUCAAGGCGGGAACAUGGCAGCAUCCAGGCAGGCAUGGUGCAGGAGGAGCUGAGAGUUCUACAUCUUCAUCUGAAGGCUGCUAGCAGAAUACUGACUUCCAGGCAGCUAGGAUGAAGGUCUUAAAGCCCACGCCCACAGUGACACAUCUUUUCCAACAAGGUCAUACCUCAAAAUAGUGCCACUCCCUGGGCCAAGCAUAUUCAAACCAUAACCCUGAGUUUAUGGCCACCCCAGGAAAACUGGAAAACAAGGGCCAGAAGUUUAAGAGGAGCGCUCUAUGGUGCUAUGGCUGCCUUGUGUCUGGUUCGAGCUGGAGAGGAGAAAUUGCGGGAGCUUGAGGUGGGAGGGCAUGUGAAGGAUUCUGAUGGGUCAAAGAGGUUGAGAGGCACAUGGGUCCUUUUAGCUGCUUCAGCUCUUAGGAACAAUGGAGAGGUUUGUGCUAGCUAGCCUAGGGUGUUAUCCUGCUGGGACUGGCCAUUUGUUGGUUCCUCAUAACCUCAGUCCUAUUGAGGGGCCCUUUCCCAACUCUAUUCGUUCUCCAGUGAAGGGAUAUGACAUAGAUUUAGUGAGGAAAUCAACUUCUGAAUGGUUGAAAUGUUAAGAGUUAAGGACCUGUAACAGGUGUCUUCAACUUAAAAGAUUUAUUACUUACUCAUCUGGCAAACUUUUGAAGUGUAGCCCAGGACUUAAUGAUGCAGAGACACGGAAGAUACAGUCUCUGCCCUCAAGGGGUGAGACGCUCAUGGUCAGAGUCAAUCAAGUAAAAUAAUAAUUACGGCAUAUGCUAUGCAGAAAAGAGGGAAGAAAAUAGCUAGCUUUGUAGGGGAUGGAGGAGUAGGGAGGGUGUGUUAAGGAAGGCUCUCCAGAGGAGGGGGCAUCUACGCUGAACUCUGAAAGAUGUAGAGGAGUCUGCAGGCAGGUGAGAAGGGGCAAGAGGACCCAUCAUAACGGAAUGAGUAGCAGAGACAUGAGAGGCCACUCAUGCUAGGGAAUGGGGGUAGUCAGAUGUGGAUACAACCCAGGCUGAAUGUGGGGUGCCGAGGUGGUCCCAGAAAGGGGAGCGGAGGCAGGUCCUGAAGGUUUGCAAGGAUUCCUUCUGAGAGAUAAUGCUCUUUGUCCGUGUAACUCGGCUGGUUAGGUUUUUGUUCUGCUUCUUCCCAACUCGACUCGAGCUAGGGUCAUCUGAGAAGAGGGACCCUCAACAGAGAAGGUGCCUCUACCAGAUUGCCUGUAGGCAAGGCUGUGUGUGGGGAUGGUUUCUUGAUUGGUGACUGACAUGAGGGGGCCCAGCCCACUGGCGGUGUGGUACCACCCCUUGGCAGGUAGUCUUGGGGUGUACAAGAAAGCAAACAGAGCAGGUCAUGGGGAGCAAACCAGUAAGAGCGUUCUUUCACGGCCGCCUCUUCAGUUCCUGCCUCCAUGUGCUUGCUUUGAGCUCCUGUCCUCAUGACCCUGAAUGGUGGAAUGUGAAAUAAAAGUUUAAGCCCCCUUUUCCCCCAAAUUGUUUUUUGUCAGAGUUUAUCACAGCAACAGGAAAGCAAACUAGAAUGGAAUUGGGGUGAGGGGCACACCCACAUUAGGUCCCAGAAGGCUUAGCAAGGAGCUGCCCAGUCCCCUGCUUUCCUACCUGAGUUUUUUUUAGAAAAACAUUAGUUGUUCAGGGAGGGACAUACAGUGUCCCACAGUUCUUAGAGACCAUUCUGGAAACAAGGUGUCUGUUCUCAGAGUAGAGAAGACUGACCCUUCUCCAGGGUAUGGGAGGGUGUGGUGGUGGUGGGAAGCCAAAACUCAGAUUGAGGCUGGUACUCCGCUACAGGGGCAUUCUCCUUUCGCUCUCUGAGGUGCCCACCUCCCUUCCCACACCAAAGCCUGGGUGAGGCCUGAGCAGAGGGGACUUGUGUGACAACCAUAGGCUCAUCAUCCCAGGUAAGAAGCCGUCCAGGAAAACCCAUUCUAAGAUAGGACCAAAGUUGCCCUGGGCAACCUCUCCUAGCAACAAGCAUUGCCCCCAGCAGCGGAGGUGGGCAGCACCUCUAGCUUUAGGAAGGCUGGAACCGUGCUAGAUCGCAUUCUCUGAACCAAGACAAACAGCCGCCAAGCUCCAUCUCCUAAUGAAACUGUUGGAUGUUAAUUAAUUAUGCAGCUGUCUCAUUUGCAUGCACGGGCUGUAGCUCCCGGCUUCCCUCCCCCCCUUCUUCUGUCAGGAGCCCUGUUUGCAUGGGGGUGGGGGGUGGGGAGCAGAUACUUGGUACCAUAGGUGUGUGCCUGCCGGUUGGUUCCAUCAGGAGGCUGAUUUGAAAGGGUGCUGAUGAAGUCACAAAGUGAAGCGCACAUUGCAAGCACUUGAACCAACCCAAGAAGCUACAACCCUUGAGUUCUGUCUUAUUCUUUUCCUUGACUGACCAAUUAAUUGUUAAAUUACUGACAGGGGUUAACUGUGGACUUCAGUGGUCUCUCCUAUAUACUGGGAAGAACCCUAGUACUUCAGAGGACUAUAUCUUAUCUAUCUUUCUAUCUCUCAUGUUGGAUACACAGGACAUAUAAAGAGGGUUGGAUUGAAUGACUGACUGAAUCAAAAGAUGUUAACAAGAUUCCGUGGGAGCUCACUUUUCCAAGGUCCCCAGUUCUGCCUGCUACGGUUACAGACCCACUGACCUCCCACUGGUCAUAGCUUGAUAACAUCUAGUGUGUGUGGUGUCCAGAGGUCAUCGUGGAUACCUGCAAAGCCAUGGUGGCCCCAGGCUCUGACCUUAAGAGGAGACUGGCUAGAAAGAGGACUGGUUCUGGUAUCAUGCUAAGCCCUGGGGAAGGAACCCCAAGUCUGUGGUGCUGUGGUGACUUCUGUGGUAAAGGUUGCAUGAUUCUGGGUAGAAGGUGGUGUGAGGGCUCUGGGAAGCUAGUUGUAAGCUUUUUAGGGAGGAGGGCAAGAAUACCUUUAGCAAUGGGCUGUUUUCUCUCAAAUGUACACAAGUUCCUGAAAUCCCAAAAUGGUGUUGAAGACCCACUUAGGAUUGGAGAUAAAAGGAUUCUGGGCCAAGAAACCAGAAGCUUUAGAGAGAACAGAGAGAAAAAGAAAGGAUUCCAGGCAUAGGGGGAGCCAAAUGCUUGCCCAGAGCCAUGAGAUCUUGGCUGAAUAGAGGUGAUGCCAGGAACUGGUGCUUAAGGAAGGGCUUUCAGUGGAAGGCAAAGGGGCCUCAACUCGGUGGGAGGCUCUCAUAGUUCAGGGACAGGAGCAGGAGUGCAGGAGGCACGGCGGGCCCGUAGGAAGUGAGACAGGUGAGAGGUGAGACAGGGAUGUCAGUGAGGUUGUCCCUGCAGGUUCAUACAGGGCAGUGAAACACACCAAAAGAUAAGAAUGAAGACCUGGUGCAGAUCGUUUUCCUCAACCCGGAUCAGGCUUCAGGGAGUCUAACAGGCGGUUAUCCCCAACAUACUUAAGCACAAUAUAAUUUGGACAAAAGUUUCCUGGCGUAAUACCAUCCCCACUGCACAAGGACACAUAAUUACAUUGAAACUCAAUGCAGGGUCCAUGUCAUUUCUUCCGAGAAGAUGGGCUCUAGAGAUAGGUGACCUGUGCCAGCUUAAGGGCCUCAGAGUCUGGCCUGGGCUCAGUCAUAGAGAUAGCACAGAGGUCACUUGGAUUGUUAGCCACCCUGGGCCUGGCUAUAAGAGUCAUUUAAAUUACUAGCCACCUCUGGUUCUGGUUGUAGAAGCUUCACAUGGCCUGGUCCAACAGAGGACACAGAUCAUCAGGCUGUUAAAUCACCUCCAGGCCUCAGCUUUGUAGAUGGGAGAACAAAUGGGUUUUUGGUCCUUCCUACUGGAAGGACAGUCCUGUGUGCUUAAUAUUCCUGGUUUCUCUGGAGAUCUGUGAUCUCAAGGACCUUCAUGCUAUGGCCCCCAUGUGAGCCCUCGGGUUUCAGUGAGGGAGGAACAUGGAGUCUGGGGCUUCCCUCAUCACCUCAGCCUUCAGAGAGAUGGGUGUCAUAGCAGCCAGCCUGAGAUUGAAGAGGUGGGAGCUAGCUUCUGGGAAUGUAGUGAACAGAAGGGUGGGUGAGUGGGGACUUGCUCCUGACCUGCCUCUAGAUGUCUAGUUUGGGGUAAACCAUGUUUCCUCUGUCUCAGUUUCUCUUCUCUUCUCUCUCUCUCUCUCUCUCUCUCUCUCUCUCUCUCUCUCUCUCUCCUCCCAGAGUUCUCUGUGUAGCCCUGGCUAUCCUGGAACUCACUCUAUAGACCAGGCUGGCCUUGAACUAAGAGACCCAGCUGCCUCUGCUUUCCAAGUGCACCAUUAAAAAAACGUGAACCACCACUGCCCGACUUUAUUUCUUCUCUUUCUCUCCCUUCUUCCUUUCCUCCUUCCCUCACUUUUUUCCUUUACAUUUUAAAAUAUUUGAGACAGUCUGUGGAGCCUAGGUUGACCUCAAACCCAUACUAAUCCUCCUGCCUCAGCCACCCGAGUGUUUGGAGUUCAGGUGUCAGUCAUCAUUCCUGGCUGACCUCGGUUUCUUGUUCUGUAAAAUGGGAUAACUCACCUCCUAUCCCUUGACCUACUCAUUGACCUAUAUUCAUCUAUAUUUCCACCCACUCGUCUAUUUGCUGAAUGUCACCUCUAUGCCCUGUGUGAGCUGCUGAGCAUACAUGACCGUGCCUUCCUUAGAGUGAGAGUUGGCCAAGGAAGAGAGAUAGUCGUUAAAUGAUGGUUGUUGAUGGACUGUGUGAAGACCAAACGGAUGGCACUCCGUGUGAAAGGCAAAAGCUCCACCUAGCUAGAAAUAUGUUAUCCCAGACGCUCGGCUAGAUGGGUGCUAGAGAGAUCUCCAGUUUGUUGGGUUUAUAACUCAAUAUUGAGCGGAACACCUCUUGCCCCAUCCCUAUUGUCUACCUCAGCCCACUCUGCCAUCUGCCCCCAGCCUGCAGCACAGCUGUGCCUUCUCCACAGGCGGGAAAGGAAGUCAGUCAGGGUCUGGUGAGGGGUAGGGUUGGGGGUAGCUGAGUUGAUUGCUGCUAAUCAGCAGCAUUGAACCUUAGCCCGGCUGAGGAGGUGUGGAAGAGGGGGACACUAGGUGGGCAUGUGGGUGCUCUUGCUAAGGGUGUUUUAGGCCCAAGGGUCUCCAUGUGUCCCCUUGGCUGGGCCACUCUCUGGCUGUGCCCAGAUGACAUCAGAGUAGAGGAGGUUGUGCUAUGGCAGAGGAGGAAGAUGGCUCAGAUGGGAAGGCCUGGCAGCUCUGUUUUCCCUAGAUCCACGGAGGCUGCUUCCCAUCCUCAGUGGCUUCGUCUCCAGGCUUCUGUUUGGGCUACUCCAUGCAGGAGACACCCCCCCCAAGCCCCCACCACCUUCAUCCCAUAUGUCAUCGUCUUCUCAGACUCAGGUGGCCAUCUCCUCCCCCAGUCUACUCAUGCUUGUGUGGAAGUAGUCUCUUCCUAAUGCUCAUAGCAUGGACAGGCAACCUCUAGGCCAGGAUCCCUCUUGCCUGGCAUGCACCUGUAGGAUUUUCACGUCUCUCUCGUCUCUCUCGCAGCAAAUGGCUAAUCUCUUUUGUAAUACAACUUCUGGUCUCUCAGGCAUCCUUAGGGAGGUCCCCAGUUAAGUCCUUUCUGCAUAUACUGCAUCUCAAAUAAUGCUCUGUAGUUACUAAAACACACAGGGGUGUUAUGUUUUUGGGGAUUUGCAAAGGCCAUGGAAGUACGGUCCCAUUCUACAGAUGAAGAAAUGGAGGCUUUGACAGGCUAAUGCUUUUCUCAGAACCAGACAGACAGGUUGGAGGAAUAGCUCAGUGGUUGAGUGCUUGUCGCUUUCAGAGGACCUGAAUUUUAUUCCGAGAUCACACAUCUAGCUCACAUGUCUAGCACCCACCUCUAGCAGACACCCACGUCUAGCACCCACAUUGUGUGGCUCACGACCACUUGUAAUUCCAGGGGCUCUGACACCCUCUUCUGACCCCAGCUGGCAUCUGCAUGCAUGUGUGCAUACACAUAUACAUAAAUAAAAAUAAAUAUGUAUAUAAAAACAAACAAAAACCCCAAAACAAAAAGCCAGGGAUCAGUAGACAGACUUCAAACUCAGAAUCUUUUGUUCUACUAGACGAAGUAGAGAAUUAUUUGGGGGAAUUGUUGCGAAGAACAUAUUCAAGGAACUAAAUAAUACUAAUUAAAUAAUAAUGAGUGAUAGAAAUAAUUAAGCUGGGUGAUGGUGGUCCACAUCUUUAAUCCCAGCACUCAGGAGGAGGUAGCGGGUGGAUCUCUGUGAGUUCAAGGCCAGCCUGGUCUACAGAGUGAGUUUCAGGACAGCCAGAGCUACAGAGAGAAAGGCUGUCUUGAAAACCAAAACAAAACCAACCAACCAAACAAACAAACAAAAAAACAAAUGAAAAAGGCAGGACUUAACUGCUGUUGUUUCUUAACUCUUUCUGUCUGCUAUAUACCACUGUGUAGAACCAGGGAUGUACUUGGUCUCAACGUGUUGAAAAAGGAAAAGGGGCUGUCGAGGAAGCUCGGCAGGUAAAGAGACUUCCAUGCAGUCCUGACAACCUGAGUUUGAUCCAGGAUCCCAUAAGGGGACAGAAGAGAAGUAACUCCUGGUGUUGUUUCUUUUCCUUCCAGUCGGAAUCCAUCUUUUGUACAUAAAAAGACAUAUAAGUUCACACACACACACACACACACACACACACACACACACACACACACACACAGGGAGAUGAUCUUUGCUUUGAGAAUAUCAUAAAAAAGUCGAGUGCAUUUAUCCUUAUGAAACUAUCACCAGGGAUAAUGGAGAUGGCUCAGUAGGUAAGGGUCCUCGCUGCCUACCGUGAUGGUUCUUGCCUGCAAAGCCUGAUGACUUCAGUUCAAUCCCUUGACCCCUCAAGGUGGAAGGAAAGAAUUGACUCUUGUAAGUCGUCCUCUGAUCUUCAUGAGUCCAGUCUUUUCACUGGUGGGAACCUGUUUCAGGGCUUGCAUCUGAUUGUAACCUUCUGCUUGGGUGCCAUAGAUUCAUCCAAGCGUUUCUAGCUGAAUGGAUUGAAGGGGAAGGACUCAAGGGCACAUUGUGGUGUUCUGGCUUUAGUGGCAAACUUGGCUUCAGUGUUUUGUUCCAUGAGGUUGUCUCGUCCAAGUGACUGCUGUAUAGGACUCACGUUUGAGAAAGAUGGAAGGUUCCCCCAGGCCCAGCACCUCCAGGAAAGUGUUUGACUCUUUUUCUUCCCAGAAGAGCCAGGGUGCUUGGGCGAGCGCCCCCUGGAGCAUGGGCGUAGGUUCGUGAGCAGAGAGUCGGCAGCAGGUUCCUAGGCUUGGCCUGGUGUGAGCCACGGGGGCCUUAUCUCGCCAUUAAUGGUUUUCUAAAUUGGUGGCAGUGGAGCAAAAAACCCAAUUUGCGCCUGGAGCACGCAUGAUUACUAUUGUAAUAACCUCAGCUAAUAAGAAUAUGAUGUGGGGCUAGGCUGCGAGAGAAAACACAUUUCUCAUUAGCUCUUGAUUAAUUACUCUACAUAAUUCUUAGUUGUGGUGGCCAAGGGGGUGGGUGUCGCCAUCUCUUAGCCUCACUUUAACCCCAGCAUCUAUGGGGUGUGGGGUUCUCGUGAUUGCUAGCAGCCACCAGGAGGGGCAUUUCCUACUUCUCUCUGCUCUUUCUCUGCUCACCUACCUUCCCUGUCUUCUCUCACUGCUCCUUCUCCAGCACUGUUUCCUUCUCCUGUUUCUCUUUUAAUGCCCCCUCCCCCCCCCGCACCCGCACGCACUUUCUUUUUCUUUCCCACCCUCCUUUUUUUGAGGUCUCCUAUAUCUUAGGCUGGCUUCGAACUCACUAUACAGGUGGCCAAGGAUGAUCUUGAACUCCCCCUACCUCCUCUGGGGUUGCAUGUGUGUAUCAUCAUGAUUGGUUUUAUUCGAUGAAAGCACUCUACAGAUCUACACCUGGGGUUCACCAUCUACACUCUAGCUUCCCCUUAGCCUUCCCUUAUCCUCAUAGGAGUCUGGGUGGGCACUGGGGAGAAAGGUCAUUUGCGUGUUCCCUCUGUCAAAGGGGCCUUGCGGGAGCAAGCAAGAACUGUCUCCGGGGCUCCUGGCGCCAUCCUUACGUGGUUACCCGGCAGUUCCACCACGACCCUUCCCUGCCACUUCUGACGUUUCACGGGCCAUUGUUUGAGGCCUAAUUGCCUGCUAGUACGAUCGGCUCGCACCUCCUUCCAGCCAUCUGGUCCGUGGCUCCUGCUGUUCAGGCCGAGAACAAACAGCGAGCCCCGGGCGGUGCUGCAGCUCUUUGUGCGCGCGCGCCAAACUGCCGCAGUGUAUUGUCUCGGCCGGGGACAACAGGCCUGUUACUAAGAUGGGUCCGGUGGGCAGAGGGACACACAGAGUUCGCCUGGUGACGGGGCUGGAACCGGUAGGCGAGCGCCCGUGGAUGUAGGAAAACCGGGAAGACCAGCAUUCUGCACGGUCUUCUCCCAGUCCUCCAUCGGGUCCCCGCAACUCUCUCCGCUCAUCCUCUGACUCCUUCCACGGCCUCCUACGCCUCCGGGCAAGAGGAACUCUCGCUAGAGAGCCAUGUAAAAAUAGAUGUAUUUCUGGAUACGCAGCGAGCCUGAAAAACGGCUGAGCCAGAGUCUGCUCCGCUGACAGAAGAUCUAUGUACCGAAUUCCUCUUCAAAAUCUAUUUCUCCGGAGAUUUAUUUUUGCAGGGCUCUGGUGAGCCAGGGGAAGUUCACACAAGCACCAGGCCGCUGUGCGGCCACUGCUUCCUGCCUGCACCCGGGACCUCCUUCCUGGUGACUGUUUCCCAGCGUGAGCAGUGAUCGAAUUAGGAGGCUGCUGAUAGGCCUGGGCAGGAGUUGAAAAGUCAGGGCUGAAAUGCAAGAGAGAUUUGAAUGGCAAAAAGGUCAUUCUCUUGCCGUACCCUGGCGGGGUCGGAAGCCUGUGAGACACCGCACGACACCCAUCCCUGCGGCUUGGGAGAAUAAGUGAUCGCUAUAUUUAUGUCUCCAUCUAAAUGCAUGGAUCAAAGCAGACACUUUAAUCUAUUCAACAACAGCCGGAGGAUUAAAAAGUUGCAGGCAAAUCACACUCUUAAAUUGGUAAUAUAUUUUUGCUUGUCACUUCACAAAUCAUUUUACAGAGUGACUCCAGGCCUGAUGGAAGAUCUGAGGACUUGAACUUAGCUCGUGAAUCUGGAGAGACUCAGCCCCCUCCCAGGUGUGGCAGGAACCACCUCGUUUGCUCCAGUUUCUUGGGCUCCAGCUGCAGUGGAUUAACGUGGGUCAUCGAGCUCAGGGUCACCCUGGCAAAUCUCUCUCUUUAUUUAAAGACUUAUUUUUAA